CGUACUUUCUUUCUGAAAUACAUUAACAGCCUCCAGAAGGUUCAGAGAUGCUGUGGCAGCCCUGUUAGACUUCAGAAGUCCCUGAUAUCUCAAGUGCAUCGAAAGUCUAGUCGGCCGGAAUCGCGGAAGCCUCGGGUCAAGAUGCUGCAGGAGAAUAAAGCGGGACCUGGUCUGCAGCCUGCUCAAGCGUGUGAGUCCUGUGGCUUCACCUUAUUCUGACUUGCGUGUUUGUUUGUUUGUGGUGGAUCCUUUUAAAUCUGUUCGCAGAGGGCGUGCAAUUUCUGACACUGUUUUAUUUGCUCCUCCCGCGAGUGACAGAGCAGAGUGUCCCAACAAUACUCCAUGUAUUUCGCGUCAGGGGCCUGUGGGUCAGCAAGGUUAUUAAUAAACAUAGCCUCUCGUUCUAAUUUA
Long non-coding RNA from Felis catus (domestic cat), 411 nucleotides. RefSeq lists it as uncharacterized. The transcript is spliced from 2 exons. NCBI's taxonomy places the organism in Eukaryota, Metazoa, Chordata, Mammalia, Carnivora, Felidae. The record is from RefSeq and is a predicted model, not a curated record.